RNAcentral lists this long non-coding RNA (3233 nucleotides) under Olea europaea subsp. europaea. Lineage: Eukaryota; Viridiplantae; Streptophyta; Magnoliopsida; Lamiales; Oleaceae. The record is from RNAcentral.
CACCAUUUGACAUGAAGGGAUAUGCCGUACCCGAAGGCACCAUUUGACAUACGAACAUUUCUUCAACAUAGAGGGGUAUGCCGUACCGGAGUACCAUUUGAUAUACAACCAUUAACAUAGAGGGAUAUGCCGUACCGGAGUACCAUUUGACAUACAAAUAUUAGCAUGAACCGAAACUUAUAACUUAACACGAUUAAACACAUUGCACCCCUACCUACCUUGAUUGAUGCUUUUAAAACUUUGAAAACUUGGAUUGAAAACUUCGAUGAAACUUGGACGUUGAAAGAAAUGUACUUCUUGGAUGUUUGAAAACCGUUGAGAAUUGAUGCUUGUAAAUACUUCUUAAACUUCUAGGAAAAAUAAUUUUCCUCCCUCUCUUUUUCUCUCUUGGAAACUCUUUCUUUAGUAUUUAAAAGCUCUUGCUUUUGGUGUGAGAAAAAUGAGUAAAAUGAGGUCUCUAUUUAUAGGGAAAUAUCCCGUAACUUAAAGUAAAUGAAGGGUCAAAUUUCAUUUAAGAGAGAAAACAUGGGUGCCAUUUAAGUUUGAGGUUAAAUACUUCAAUUUAGUGAGGUUUUUAUUGUCAAAAACGUGGGUGGCCCUUUGAGAAAAUAAUGAAAAUAAAUACUUAAAUUCUAGAGAAAAAUGAGAAUUUUCAUUUCAGGCAGUUUCGGUCGACUGGUUGUAGUUCGGUUGACACUGCAUAGCCUUCAGUGUUUUUAUCAUAACUUCUUUUCCCGAUAUCCGAUCGAGGUAAUCAAAGUGCGUUGGAAAGCUAACUCAAAGAGUUACAACUUUUAUUUAGAUAUCACUUUCCAAAUCGAAUGUUUCCUAUGUUGAAAAUGGGUCUCAAAUGAGACUAAAAAUCUGAAGUAUACUUUAGUAAUCCAAUAUUCAUGUCUUAGUGCCACUAAGGUGUCUAGAAUUAUUUGAGGUUCUACAUCCCCCACACCUUAAUUAAAAUUUCGUCCUCGGAAUUUACCUUCUGAUUGGGCGAAUAGUGUUGGAUACUUGUCUUUUGCUUCUUCUUCUUUUUCCCCAGUGGCUUCUUCUAUGCCGUGAUGAUUCCAUUGUAUCUUAACCAGCUGAAUCUCUUUAUGCACUUUUCGAUCCAAUAUCUUAAUCGGUAGUUCCUCGUACGACAAAUCUUUCUGUACCUCCAAAGUUUGAUAACUCACUACAUGAUUAGGAUCAUGUACAUACUUCUUUAUCAUCGAUAUAUGGAACACAUUGUGCACUGCCGAUAAUUCAGGUGGCAAAGCUAGUCGGUAAGCCAGAUUUUCGACUCUAUCAAGUAUCUUGAAAGGUCCGAUAUACCGAGGUCGUAGCUUGCCUUUCUUUCCAAAUCUAAGUACACCUUUCAUCGGUGCUACUUUCAGAAACACUUUAUCCCUAACUUGGAAUUCUAAAUCCUUCCUCCUUGUAUUUACAUAGCUCUUUUAUCGAUCUUGUGCUGCCUUUAUUCUUGUAUGGAUCUUAUCGAUUACCUCGACCGUCCUUUCAACUAUUUUUUGUCCUAAAACUCUCUUCUCUCCGACUUCAUCCCAAUGAACAGGGGAUCUACAUCUUCUACCAUAGAGAGCUUCGUAUGGUGCCAUUCCAAUAGUUGCUUGGAAACUGUUAUUAUAAGCGAACUCUAUUAGAGGUAAGUAUGACUCCCAAUUACCUCCUAGAUCCAAAACACAUGUUCUUAGCAUGUCUUCUAAAGUUUGGAUGGUACUUUCAGACUGACCAUCGGACUGAGGGUGAUAUGAAGUACAAAAGUUCAGCUUCGUUCCCAUAGCUCUUUGUAGACUUUUCCAAAAUUUGGACGUGAACCUUGGGUCUCUGUCAGACACAAUGGAUACAAGUACACCGUGUAAUCUCACAACCUUUUUAAUGUACAACUGUGCCAAUUGGUCUAAACUGAAUGUCAUUUUCACUGGAAGAAAAUGAGCCGACUUCGUUAGUCAAUCCACUACUAUCCAUAUAGUAUUAUUUCCUCUUGCUGACUUCGGGAAUCCAACCACAAAGUCCAUCGUGAUAUUUUUCCAUUUCUAUUCAGGUAUAUCUAUUGGAUUUAACAAUCCAGUUGGUUUUUGGUGUUCUGCCUUAACCUGUUGACAUACCAUGUACUUCUGCACGUAUAGCCCUAUACUUCUUUUCAUAUUUCUCCACCAAAAUGUAUCUCGAAGAUCUCGAUACAUUUUCGUACCACCAGGAUGUGUGGUGUACUGGGUGGAAUGAGCUUCUUUUAAUAUCUCGUUUCUUAAGGCUUCAUCCUUAGGCACGCAAAUUCUUCCUCUAAAUAUCAGUGCUUGAUCCUCAGCUAUUCCAAAGUCCUUUUUCUUAUCGGUACCAACUUCAUUCUUAAUCUUCUGUAAAAAUGAGUCUUUAUUUUGUGCCUCUAUAAUUCGAUCUCUAAGAGUAGGUCGAAUUAUUAAAGUUGCUAGACGAGCAGGGACUUGUCCUAGUGUGGUAACCACUUCGAUCUGCAACUUUUUCAAGUCCUUGACUAACUCCACCUGAGAGGUGGGUAGUGACGUCAAUUGUCCCAUCGAUUUUCUACUUAGAGCGUCGGCCACAACAUUAGCCUUACCCGGAUGGUAGUGAAUAGUGCAGUCGUAAUCGUUCACCAAUUCCAACCAUCGUCUUUGUCGCAUAUUCAAUUCCUUCUGUGUGAAGAAAUACUUGAGACUUUUGUGAUGUGUGUAGAUAUCAUACUUCCAUCCAUACAAGUAGUGUCGCCAUAUCUUCAAAGCGUGUACGACCGCUGCAAGUUCUAAAUCAUGUGUCGAGUAGUUCUGCUCAUGUUUCUUCAAUUGUCUUGAAGCAUAGGCUCUCAUUUUUCCAUUCUGCAUUAGUACACAUCCCAAUCCUCGCUUGGAUGAGUCGCUGUAACAAACCCUUCCGUACCUUCAGGUAUUGUUAAUACAGGUACUGAUAUCAACUUCUGCUUAAGUUCUUGGAAACUUUGUUUGCAUUUUUCGUCCAUUGGAAUUUUACUCCCUUCCUUGUAAGCCGCGUCAUUGGUCCAACUAUUUUGGAGAAUCCUUCUAUGAAUCUCCUAUAAUAUCCAGCCAAUCCUAGAAAACUCCGUACUUCGCCAGCAUUUGUUGGUGCUUUCCAGUUGGUUAUUGCUUCUACUUUUGCUGGAUCUACUUCAAUCCCUUGGGCAGUAACUACAUGUCCAAGAAAUCCAACUCGUUCAAGCCAAAACUCGUACUUCUUGAAUUUGGCAUACAGCUUCUCCUUGC